This 136-nucleotide microRNA precursor is filed under the name Hordeum vulgare. Its description in RNAcentral is "microRNA MIR1122". It matches the Rfam family "MIR1120/MIR1122 microRNA precursor family". Lineage: Eukaryota; Viridiplantae; Streptophyta; Magnoliopsida; Poales; Poaceae. The record is from RNAcentral.
AUAGUACUCCCUUCGUUCCAAAAUUAUUGUCUUAGAUUUGUCUAGAUAUAAAUGUAUCUAGUCAUGUUUUAAUAUUUAGAUACAUUCAUUUCUAGACAAAUCUAAAACAAAUUUUUUGAAACGGAGGGAAUAGUAU